GACAGCAGUCGCCGCGUGAAUACAGAGGUCUCAAGCGUUGUUCGGAUUCAUUGGGCGUAAAGGGUGCGUAGGUGGCGUCGUAAGUCAGGUGUGAAAUCUCGGGGCUCAACCUCGAAACUGCACUUGAUACUGCGAUGCUUGAGUACUGGAGAGGAGAUUGGAAUUUACGGUGUAGCAGUGAAAUGCGUAGAUAUCGUAAGGAAGACCAGUGGCGAAGGCGAAUCUCUGGACAGUUACUGACACUGAGGCACGAAGGCCAGGGGAGCAAACGGGAUUAGAUACCCCGGUAGUCCCUGUCUCUUAUAC
Molecule: ribosomal RNA, 306 nt
Filed under: uncultured bacterium
Lineage: Bacteria
Description: partial 16S ribosomal RNA
Rfam family: Bacterial small subunit ribosomal RNA
Source: RNAcentral